Molecule: ribosomal RNA, 253 nt
Filed under: uncultured bacterium
Lineage: Bacteria
Description: partial 16S ribosomal RNA
Rfam family: Bacterial small subunit ribosomal RNA
Source: RNAcentral
UACGUAGGGUGCGAGCGUUAAUCGGAAUUACUGGGCGUAAAGCGUGCGCAGGCGGUUCGCUGUGUCCGAUGUGAAAGCCCCGAGCUUAACUUGGGAAUGGCAUUGGAAACUGGCGGGCUGGAGUGCGGCAGAGGGGGGUGGAAUUCCACGUGUAGCAGUGAAAUGCGUAGAGAUGUGGAGGAACACCGAUGGCGAAGGCAGCCCCCUGGGCCGACACUGACGCUCAGGCACGAAAGCGUGGGGAGCAAACAGG